This 253-nucleotide ribosomal RNA is filed under the name uncultured bacterium. Its description in RNAcentral is "partial 16S ribosomal RNA". It matches the Rfam family "Bacterial small subunit ribosomal RNA", at positions 524 to 776 of the family's 1533-position model. The record is from RNAcentral.
UACAGAGGGGGCAAGCGUUGUUCGGAAUUACUGGGCGUAAAGGGCGCGUAGGUGGCCUUCUAAGUUGAACGUGAAAUCCCUGGGCUCAACCCAGGAACUGCGUCCAAGACUGGGAGGCUUGAAUCCGGGAGAGGGAUGCGGAAUUCCAGGUGUAGCGGUGAAAUGCGUAGAUAUCUGGAGGAACACCGGUGGCGAAGGCGGCAUCCUGGACCGGUAUUGACACUGAGGCGCGAAGGCCAGGGGAGCAAACAGG